GAGCCCCUCAGCCGCCGCCGCCGCCCCUGCUGGGCACCAAUACCCGCUCCAGCGAGUACCAUUGCGAAGAGAUCGAAGGUCCUCAGAGAGAGUGAGAGAGAGAGAGAGAGGUUUUGGGGUGAGAGGAAACGGUUUGGCGAGAGAGAGAGAGAGAGAGAGAGAGAGAGAGAGAGAGAGAGAGAAGGGUUUUGGAGUGAGAGGAAAG
This 205-nucleotide long non-coding RNA is filed under the name Ananas comosus (pineapple). Its description in RNAcentral is "long non-coding RNA (ACOM_LNC012862)". The record is from RNAcentral. Lineage: Eukaryota; Viridiplantae; Streptophyta; Magnoliopsida; Poales; Bromeliaceae.